RNAcentral lists this ribosomal RNA (425 nucleotides) under uncultured Oscillospiraceae bacterium. RNAcentral's name for it is "bacterial SSU rRNA". It matches the Rfam family "Bacterial small subunit ribosomal RNA", at positions 354 to 796 of the family's 1533-position model. Lineage: Bacteria; Bacillati; Bacillota; Clostridia; Eubacteriales; Oscillospiraceae. The record is from RNAcentral.
GUGGGGGAUAUUGCACAAUGGGGGAAACCCUGAUGCAGCGACGCCGCGUGGAGGAAGAAGGUUUUCGGAUUGUAAACUCCUGUCGUUAGGGACGAUAAUGACGGUACCUAACAAGAAAGCACCGGCUAACUACGUGCCAGCAGCCGCGGUAAAACGUAGGGUGCAAGCGUUGUCCGGAAUUACUGGGUGUAAAGGGAGCGCAGGCGGACCGGCAAGUUGGAAGUGAAAACCAUGGGCUCAACCCAUGAAUUGCUUUCAAAACUGCUGGCCUUGAGUAGUGCAGAGGUAGGUGGAAUUCCCGGUGUAGCGGUGGAAUGCGUAGAUAUCGGGAGGAACACCAGUGGCGAAGGCGACCUACUGGGCACCAACUGACGCUGAGGCUCGAAAGCAUGGGUAGCAAACAGGAUUAGAUACCCUGGUAGUCC